This 778-nucleotide ribosomal RNA is filed under the name uncultured Aquificales bacterium. RNAcentral describes it as "bacterial SSU rRNA". It matches the Rfam family "Bacterial small subunit ribosomal RNA", at positions 573 to 1339 of the family's 1533-position model. The record is from RNAcentral. Lineage: Bacteria; Pseudomonadati; Aquificota; Aquificia; Aquificales.
AGGCGGUGUCCUAAGUCCCCCGUGAAAGCUGCCCGCUCAACGGGCAGAGGUCGGGGGAGACUGGGACACUUGAGGGCGGGAGAGGCCGGCGGAACGGCGGGUGUAGCGGUGAAAUGCGUCGAUAUCCGCCGGAACACCAGUGGCGAAUGCGGCCGGCUGGAACGCCCCUGACGCUGAGGGACGAAGGCCGGGGGAGCGAACCGGAUUAGAUACCCGGGUAGUCCCGGCAGUAAACGGUGGGCGCUAGGUGUGGGGAGUCUCGACCCUCCCCGUGCCGCAGGGAAACCAAUAAGCGCCCCGCCUGGGGAGUACGGGCGCAAGCCUGAAACUCAAACCAAUUGACGGGGGCCCGCACAAGCGGCGGAGCAUGUGGCUUAAUUCGAUGCUACCCGAAGAACCUUACCAGGGCUUGACAUGCUGGCUUAAGCCCGCCCGAAAGGGUAGGGUGGGGCGGUUUCCACCGCCCAGCCAGCACAGGUGGUGCACGGCUGUCGUCAGCUCGUGCCGUGAGGUGUCCGGUUAAGUCCGGCAACGAGCGCAACCCCCGCCGCCAGUUGCCAGCGGGUAAUGCCGGGCACUCUGGCGGGACUGCCCGCGUAAGCGGGAGGAAGGUGGGGAUGACGUCAAGUCCGCGUGCCCCUGAAGUCCUGGGCUGCACACAUGCUACAAUGCCCGCUACAAAGGGUUGCGAACCCGCGAGGGGGAGCGAAUCCCAAAAAAGCGGGCUCAGUUCGGAUCGCAGGCUGCAGCUCGCCUGCGUGAAGCCGGAGUCGCUAGU